Long non-coding RNA from Pseudoliparis swirei, 981 nucleotides. RefSeq lists it as uncharacterized. The record is from RefSeq and is a predicted model, not a curated record. The transcript is spliced from 3 exons. NCBI's taxonomy places the organism in Eukaryota, Metazoa, Chordata, Actinopteri, Perciformes, Liparidae.
AACAAUUUAACGAUUUUCUUUGUAAUUUUAAGGCAGAUCAUAUUAUAUUUAUAUUAAUGUGUACUUUUACAUUCAAACUCUGUAAAUCUGAAUCUAAAUGUAGCUAACUUUUGUCAUUACAUUAAACAUAUUGCAUUUUUUUAAGAGUACAAAGUAGAAGAAAUAAUAGGUUUUGAUACUUGUUCUUUAUAGGAGCAUUAUAGGGCGACCGUGAGUAUUUGUCCAGUGUCGGUGUCCCGGAGCGAGACAUCUAACUUCUAACUGUAAGUCGCUUUUGGAUAAAAGCGCCAGCUAAAUGCAUGUAACAUGCUUGAAAGUUUCAACCUCAAGAGAGCAGUGCAGCAGAAACUUGCCAUAUAGGAUUUAGUGUCAACUAGAAAUAAGACCGUCACAAUGGCAAUGACCACCACGAGCGGAGUGCGACGCAUCCCAGAUAGCAGUUGAUCCUAUCCGCCCUCCUGUCACACUCGGUUUGGUCAUGCCACCGGAUCCGCGCACCAUCAGACAGCGUUGUAACUGCGGUGGAUGCUCCAAGUUGUUGCCCUUCGACUUUUCAAACUGGUAUUUUCAAAACUGCAGCUCUUUGCGCCAGAAGUACGAGUUAGUUGUACAGAAGUGACAACACUGUUGAUCGCCAUCUCUACAAUUCAGAUAAAAUGAACAGAAAGAAUGGGCCUGUCUCCAGCUCCACCAUUAGACGGAGGGUCCGUCAAGAUGUUUUGACUACAUCACUGUGAUUGAUGGGAAACUGAAUACAACUUUGACUGUUCAGUAAAGUUUCUUCUCUUCAAUGUGUAUAACACGCCUAUUAUUGCCGUUUAAUCUCUUUUUUACGGUAUACCUCGUGUUGUCAAACACACAUUUUCAUACUCCUGGUUAUUAAGAACUUUAAUAGUUGCAAAAUAUUAUUUUUUUCAAAGUUCUUGGAACAGAAGGUUAUAUUUCUGUGACAAGUGACACUGUUUGUUUCUUUCCUCUGUA